GGAUGAACGCUAGCGGGAGGCUUAACACAUGCAAGUCGAGGGGCAGCAUAGGGUAGCAAUACUCUGAUGGCGACCGGCAAACGGGUGAGUAACGCGUAUGUAACCUACCCUGUACAGGGGGAUAACCCGGAGAAAUUCGGACUAAUAUCCCAUAACAAUAUCCGGGGGCAUCUUUGGAUAUUUAAAGUUCCGGCGGUACGGGAUGGGCAUGCGUAACAUUAGCUAGUUGGUAAGGUAACGGCUUACCAAGGCUUUGAUGUUUAGGGGUCCUGAGAGGGUGGUCCCCCACACUGGUACUGAGACACGGACCAGACUCCUACGGGAGGCAGCAGUGAGGAAUAUUGGACAAUGGAUGGAAAUCUGAUCCAGCCAUGCCGCGUGCAGGAAGACAGCCCUAUGGGUUGUAAACUGCUUUUAUAUGGGAGCAAUAAGGUCUACGUGUAGACUGAUGAGAGUACCAUAUGAAUAAGCAUCGGCUAACUCCGUGCCAGCAGCCGCGGUAAUACGGAGGAUGCGAGCGUUAUCCGGAUUUAUUGGGUUUAAAGGGUGCGUAGGCGGCCGAGUAAGUCAGCGGUGAAAUUUUGCAGCUUAACUGNNNNNGUGCCGUUGAUACUGCAUGGCUAGGAUUUGGUUGCUGUGGGUGGAAUGUGUGGUGUAGCGGUGAAAUUGCUUAGAUAUCACACAGAAUAUCNNNNGCGAAGGCNGCUCACAAAGCCAAGAUUGACGCUGAGGCACGAAAGUGUGGGGAUCAAACAGGAUUAGAUACCCUGGUAGUCCACACUGUAAACGAUGAUAACUCACUGCCGGCGAUACACAGUCGGUGGCCAAGCGAAAGCGAUAAGUUAUCCACCUGGGGAGUACGACCGCAAGGUUGAAACUCAAAGGAAUUGACGGGGGCCCGCACAAGCGGAGGAACAUGUGGUUUAAUUCGAUGAUACGCGAGGAACCUUACCCGGGCUCGAACGGUGCAUGAAUAAGCAAGAGAUUGUUUAGUCCUUCGGGACAUGUAUCGAGGUGCUGCAUGGUUGUCGUCAGCUCGUGCCGUGAGGUGUCGGCUUAAGUGCCAUAACGAGCGCAACCCUUGUUGUUAGUUACCAACAGGUAAAGCUGGGGACUCUAACGAGACUGCCACCGUAAGGUGUGAGGAAGGGGGGGAUGACGUCAAAUCAGCACGGCCCUUAUGUCCGGGGCGACACACGUGUUACAAUGGGGGGUACAGAGGGCAGCCAUCCGGUGACGGAGCGCCAAUCUCCAAAACCCUUCUCAGUUCGGAUUGGAGUCUGCAACCCGACUCCAUGAAGUUGGAUUCGCUAGUAAUCGCGCAUCAGCCAUGGCGCGGUGAAUACGUUCCCGGGCCU
This 1358-nucleotide ribosomal RNA is filed under the name uncultured bacterium. Its description in RNAcentral is "bacterial SSU rRNA". It matches the Rfam family "Bacterial small subunit ribosomal RNA", at positions 27 to 1381 of the family's 1533-position model. The record is from RNAcentral.